Molecule: ribosomal RNA, 253 nt
Filed under: uncultured bacterium
Lineage: Bacteria
Description: partial 16S ribosomal RNA
Rfam family: Bacterial small subunit ribosomal RNA
Source: RNAcentral
UACGUAGGGGGCAAGCGUUGUCCGGAUUUAUUGGGCGUAAAGAGCGUGUAGGCGGCCUGACAGGUCUGCUGUGAAAACUCGAGGCUCAACCUCGAGAUGUCGGCGGAAACCGUCUGGCUAGAGUCCGGAAGAGGAGAGUGGAAUUCCUGGUGUAGCGGUGAAAUGCGCAGAUAUCAGGAAGAACACCGAUGGCGAAGGCAGCUCUCUGGGACGGUACUGACGCUGAGACGCGAAAGCGUGGGGAGCGAACAGG